UUUGAUGUACUGUUGGCUAAGGCCUUUCCCUUCUUGAACUUAUUUGUGUGAUGGUUUCCUUUUAUUGCAUCUUGAUCUCAUAAGCUUAUCCAUGGCUCGGUCUUUUUGCACUUUCACCUGAUGUGAGACUGGAAUCCAGGGGUUAGAAUACCCCUUUGGAAUCGAUAAACAUGUUAUUACAUUAACAUAUCCAUUUGCAUAUCUUGCAUAACAGGUACUGCUGCGGUGUUCUCAUAUUAUGUGGUGUUCCAC
This 252-nucleotide long non-coding RNA is filed under the name Lathyrus oleraceus (garden pea). Its description in RNAcentral is "Pisum sativum (pea) long non-coding RNA (PSAT_LNC031458)". The record is from RNAcentral. Lineage: Eukaryota; Viridiplantae; Streptophyta; Magnoliopsida; Fabales; Fabaceae.